UACAGAGGUCUCAAGCGUUGUUCGGAUUCAUUGGGCGUAAAGGGUGCGUAGGUGGCGCGGUAAGUCGGGUGUGAAAUCUCGGAGCUUAACUCCGAAACUGCAUUCGAUACUGCCGUGCUCGAGGACUGGAGAGGAGACUGGAAUUCAUGGUGUAGCAGUGAAAUGCGUAGAGAUCAUGAGGAAGACCAGUGGCGAAGGCGGGUCUCUGGACAGUUCCUGACACUGAGGCACGAAGGCCAGGGGAGCAAACGGG
Molecule: ribosomal RNA, 253 nt
Filed under: uncultured bacterium
Lineage: Bacteria
Description: partial 16S ribosomal RNA
Rfam family: Bacterial small subunit ribosomal RNA
Source: RNAcentral